RNAcentral lists this ribosomal RNA (253 nucleotides) under uncultured bacterium. RNAcentral's name for it is "partial 16S ribosomal RNA". It matches the Rfam family "Bacterial small subunit ribosomal RNA", at positions 524 to 776 of the family's 1533-position model. The record is from RNAcentral.
UACGUAGGGGGCAAGCGUUAUCCGGAUUUACUGGGUGUAAAGGGGGCGCAGACGGCGAUGCAAGCCAGGAGUGAAAGCCCGGGGCCCAACCCCGGAACUGCUCUUGGAACUGCGUGGCUGGAGUGCAGGAGGGGCAGGCGGAAUUCCUGGUGUAGCGGUGAAAUGCGUAGAUAUCAGGAGGAACACCGGUGGCGAAGGCGGCCUGCUGGACUGCAACUGACGUUGAGGCCCGAAAGCGUGGGGAGCAAACAGG